GACGGACCGUCCGAACGUUACUCGGAAUUACUGGGCUUAAAGGGUGCGUAGGCGGCCUUGCAAGUCGGGUGUGAAAUCCCUCGGCUCAACCGAGGAAUUGCGCUCGAUACUGCGGGGCUCGAGGGAGAUAGAGGUGAGCGGAACUUGCGGUGGAGCGGUGAAAUGCGUUGAUAUCGCAAGGAACACCGGAGGCGAAAGCGGCUCACUGGGUCUCUCCUGACGCUGAGGCACGAAAGCUAGGGGAGCGAACGGG
Molecule: ribosomal RNA, 253 nt
Filed under: uncultured bacterium
Lineage: Bacteria
Description: partial 16S ribosomal RNA
Rfam family: Bacterial small subunit ribosomal RNA
Source: RNAcentral